CCAGACCCCGGGUAUGGGAAGAUGGAACGAGAACGAUUCCGGCGAGCAGGGCAAAACAGAUCGGAGUCAGACACACUUCAGCUCUGAAGGUCCAGGAUAUUUCACCAUGGGAGGUUCGGCAAACAACGGCAUGGCAACUCAAGAGGAUAAAACAGGGAUGCUUCAGAGGAUCAGUGUUUGGAUCCCAUGUCAAAACGUGGAGUGGAAGAGGGUAACAAGGAGCUACUCCAUAGCAGGCCACAGGGCAGUGUUUGCCAGCACACUUCCACUUGGUUAAGCUGGGAAGUCUCAUGAUGCAAGGACCUUGUCAGGAUUACAGCUGUAUCCCCGGAGCCUAGCGCUGUGCUUGGCAUACAACAGGUGCUCAAUCAAUACUUGCCAAAUGACUGAAUGCAUCCUGUCAGUAUCAGGAUGCCACCCAGGCCCUGAGGGAGCCAGGGCAUGGGAGGAAAACGUUUGGACUCCUGCCAUGCCUUACAUUAGCAGCAUCUUCUCUGAGCCCUGACAGCCAGCCCCCUGGGACGCCAUUUGAGCCAGCUGAAUUCCGGUCACUGUUUCACCUUGGAAAGGCAACCGCAGCCCUCACCAAGCAGCCCAGUAACUGACGUCACAGCAGUGCCAGGAGCUGCCCCGUUAAUAUUUAAUGUAGACUCCACUGCGGCAGAGCUGCAGGCUAGAAGAGCUGGAGGGGGCUGUGCACCGUCUCCAUGGGGUCGUGAGGAGGGCACAGAUGGAAAACGGCUUCAUAAACCGGAAAGCCCCCAGCAGAUGAGCAUUACACUGGCCUGUUUUAGUCCCUGGCUUAACUCAGAAAGAGCCAGAACAGCAUGUGCCUGCAGUAGGACAAGGAGACUGCUGACUGAGCCCAAGUGAUAAAUAUAUGCGGGAUUAGGGGCUCCGAGGGAGAUUUCCUGGAGACUGUGGGAGGGUGAGCACUGGCGCCAGCCAGACCUGGACUCUACUCCAGGUUUGCACAGUGCAGCUGUGCGACUGGGUAGCAACUGUACCACUGAGCCUCAGUUCUCUGAUCUGUGAGAUGGGCAUAAUACCUUCCUUGAGGGGCUGUUGUGAGGAUUAAAUAAAACAAGUGAUGGAGAAGAGCCAGCUCAGUACUUACUAGGACCUUGGUAAAUGCUUCUCCAAACCUCAGGGGCCUGAGGUUAGUGACAGGAGAUGUGAAAGUGCUUCAUGCAUUCACUGGCCAGGAACAGGAAGAGAGGGGCCCUUGUGGACCAUCUCUUCUGAUCAUCUGACCCCUUCAUUAGACAGACAAGGAUGCUGAGGGCCCAGGAGGGGACAGAGGCUCACACAGCAGAGCUGAGGUCUGACCUGAUCUGCAGUUGCCUGCCAGCCUUCCCCACCAGUGAUGAUGAUGAGAUGCCCCCAUUGAUGAUGGAUGCCUCUGCCUCUCUGACCUGGACAAAGCAGGACCCUCAUCCUCCACCCCUUCCUUGUCUCCCUCUGGUAUGUUUCCCCACAAAUCCUGGCAGCUUCCCAAAAUGUAAAUCCGAACCAAGGCAGCCCCUGCUUAAACCCCUUCUGUGGUCUCACAUUUAGCACUGGCCAGAGAAAAUACAGGAGGCCCAGUUAAAACUGAAUUUCAUAUAAAGAACAAAUGAUUCUUCAGUAUAAGAAUGUUCCAGGGACGCCUGGGUAGCUCCGUCAGUUG
Long non-coding RNA from Herpailurus yagouaroundi (jaguarundi), 1669 nucleotides. RefSeq lists it as uncharacterized. NCBI's taxonomy places the organism in Eukaryota, Metazoa, Chordata, Mammalia, Carnivora, Felidae. The record is from RefSeq and is a predicted model, not a curated record. The transcript has 3 exons.